RNAcentral lists this long non-coding RNA (1267 nucleotides) under Nicotiana tabacum (common tobacco). RNAcentral's name for it is "long non-coding RNA (NTAB_LNC000278)". Lineage: Eukaryota; Viridiplantae; Streptophyta; Magnoliopsida; Solanales; Solanaceae. The record is from RNAcentral.
UGUCCUUGUUUUUUAAAAUCUUAAUAUCAAUUUGUAUAAGAUGAAUUUAAUAAAAAAUACGGGUUAAGUGACACUUCUGAAUUGAAAGACUUAGAAUAUUAGGACAAAGGAGUACGCUAACAAAAAUUAAAAUUACUCUUAAAUUUUAAGGUACAUAAUUAUUAUUAUUUUAUAAAUUAGAUGCAAUUUAACUAAUUAGUGAUUGCACCAUCUUCCGGUCCCUUGAUGGACCUUCAACUAUAUCUAAUACAAAUGUGAUAUUUAUUUUAGUAUCAAGUGCUAUAUAUCAAUAAUUUAUUCUUCUUGUAUUUAAUUUUUAUUAAUAGACGCGAGGAGGUAGGAGAAUUGCAAUAAGAAACUCAUCUUUUAUAUCACCCCUUUCCAAAUAGUAGUAUCCUUCAUUUUGAAUAUCCUGGGGAAGAAGUGUUGUUGAAGCGAAGGCUUUGUGAAAACCAAAACCCUCUCCGCUAGAAGACUCGCGGACCUACUCACUGUUUCCGGCGAUUACCCUAUCACGGUACGCCCAAAUUUCAGUAUCUCUAUGUUCUGCUUACACACACUCUCUCAUCUCGAUAUCCGUUUGUUUGUUUGAUUCAGAUGCAUCAGAAUAGUGGAGCCGCCGAUUUGGCUCAGCUUCAAGCCACCAUGCAAGCAAUCGAAUUCGCUUGCACUUCUAUUCAGGUCAUUUUGUCAACUAGUUUUGUCAUAUCUGAAAUCAAUUCAACUGCUAAACCAUAUUUGCCAUGUUCCGUUGCAAUCAAGAUGUAUAGGUGCUGUAACUGUUGUUGGUUUGGUAUGUACUGCUUUUAGCAGCCAUGUUUUCUCGAGUAACUUCUCUUUACCAAACCAAAUGAUCUAAAGCACAACCUAUGCGGUGAAAUUAAGUGAUGGCAAGUUCUAAGUGAGUGCUAAACAUUUUGGUUUAUGCCUUCUUUAGUUGAGAAUUGUGAAAUUAAGUUAGUCUAGUCGUAUUUAUCUGAAGAAUUUAUUCUUGUGGUAUUGGAUGUUGUAUAAUUCUAAAGGCCUUAUAAAAUUGAAAUAGGUCCCCUUUCCAUUCUUUUCCCUUUUGCUGCUGAUGGGUUCCAGAGACGAGCUUCAGUGCCACACAAUUUACUUGAUGAUUGUUCUCCAUGAUUUAUUAAUCCUCAUAACCAUAUCCAUACUACAAAUUCUACAAUCAAAUCACAAAUGUGGACAUCUGGACUAUGUUUGAGCAUCGGCAAGUAUUUGACCUUAAUGAAUUACAAGUUGAAAAAAUUGAUUUCAU